GGUAAAAUGGCUGAUUUAAGCGUUAAGUUGUAAACUUAAUUAUGGGCAAGCCCUUUUAUCA
This 61-nucleotide transfer RNA is filed under the name Argulus japonicus. RNAcentral's name for it is "tRNA-Tyr". The record is from RNAcentral. Lineage: Eukaryota; Metazoa; Arthropoda; Ichthyostraca; Arguloida; Argulidae.